RNAcentral lists this ribosomal RNA (474 nucleotides) under Streptococcus mitis. RNAcentral describes it as "bacterial SSU rRNA". It matches the Rfam family "Bacterial small subunit ribosomal RNA", at positions 28 to 483 of the family's 1533-position model. Lineage: Bacteria; Bacillati; Bacillota; Bacilli; Lactobacillales; Streptococcaceae. The record is from RNAcentral.
GACGAACGCUGGCGGCGUGCCUAAUACAUGCAAGUAGAACGCUGAAGGAGGAGCUUGCUUCUCUGGAUGAGUUGCGAACGGGUGAGUAACGCGUAGGUAACCUGCCUGGUAGCGGGGGAUAACUAUUGGAAACGAUAGCUAAUACCGCAUAAGAGUAGAUGUUGCAUGACAUUUGCUUAAAAGGUGCAAUUGCAUCACUACCAGAUGGACCUGCGUUGUAUUAGCUAGUUGGUGAGGUAACGGCUCACCAAGGCGACGAUACAUAGCCGACCUGAGAGGGUGAUCGCUCACACUGGGACUGAGACACGGCCCAGACUCCUACGGGAGGCAGCAGUAGGGAAUCUUCGGCAAUGGACGGAAGUCUGACCGAGCAACGCCGCGUGAGUGAAGAAGGUUUUCGGAUCGUAAAGCUCUGUUGUAAGAGAAGAAACGAGUGUGAGAGUGGAAAGUUUCACAACUGGGACGGGUUCUACC